CCUAUCAACUUUCGAUGUUACUAUCUGCCCCUACCAUGGUGAUUACGGGUAACGGGGAAUCAGGGUUUGAUUACG
Non-coding RNA from Pelobates cultripes (western spadefoot toad), 75 nucleotides. NCBI's taxonomy places the organism in Eukaryota, Metazoa, Chordata, Amphibia, Anura, Pelobatidae. The record is from the annotation of a GenBank genome assembly.